GAUGAACGCUGGCGGCGUGCCUAAUACAUGCAAGUCGAGCGAACGGACGAGAAGCUUGCUUCUCUGAUGUUAGCGGCGGACGGGUGAGUAACACGUGGAUAACCUACCUAUAAGACUGGGAUAACUUCGGGAAACCGGAGCUAAUACCGGAUAAUAUUUUGAACCGCAUGGUUCAAAAGUGAAAGACGGUUUUGCUGUCACUUAUAGAUGGAUCCGCGCUGCAUUAGCUAGUUGGUAAGGUAACGGCUUACCAAGGCAACGAUGCAUAGCCGACCUGAGAGGGUGAUCGGCCACACUGGAACUGAGACACGGUCCAGACUCCUACGGGAGGCAGCAGUAGGGAAUCUUCCGCAAUGGGCGAAAGCCUGGCGGAGCAACGCCGCGUGAGUGAUGAAGGUCUUCGGAUCGUAAAACUCUGUUAUUAGGGAAGAACAUAUGUGUAAGUAACUGUGCACAUCUUGACGGUACCUAAUCAGAAAGCCACGGCUAACUACGUG
RNAcentral lists this ribosomal RNA (497 nucleotides) under uncultured bacterium. Its description in RNAcentral is "partial 16S ribosomal RNA". It matches the Rfam family "Bacterial small subunit ribosomal RNA", at positions 28 to 507 of the family's 1533-position model. The record is from RNAcentral.